CUUUUCAUCCAGAUUGUUGUCUAGCCUGUCAUAUGACUGAGGCAACGGUGCUCAGACAGCUGUGACAAACGCAACAGUGGAGUGGAAACGCUGUCAUAAUACGUGUAACUUUAACCCACACCCUUUGUGUUUCGUCAGUCACACGGCUCAUCAGUAAAGGCGGGGGUGUACUGAUUGUCAGCUGAGAUAGGCUCCAGAAUGCCUGAGCCCCUUGUGAGGAAUAAGCACCCAAGAUGCUGGUUCAGCUCGCUGAAAAACACAUACAACCACUGCCCAGGGGUCAUGUUGUCAGCCCUGGACCGAAGCAAGAGGGGGUUCAAGUACAUCCAGACAAAUGCACCGCUGAAGGAGUGAUUACGCAAAAAGCAUCCUUUUGAUUCUGUUUGACCCAAAGGGCGAAAUCUUAAUUCAGGGAAAGUGACAGCAUGCAGUGAGUUUUGUUCCCACUUGUUAUUUUACUCCAAAACUAAAAAAAAAAUGUGUUUUAGAAACAGAAAGAAUUUAGAUUUAGUUCCUAAAAAAUAAAGUGUGACAGAUGAAAGAACAAAACAAAGAAGUGGGAAGUUUAUUUAAGCAUAUUACUGAACUGAGUGAACCCAAUUCUAUAACACAUUUUUAGAAUACAUAUUGAUUAAAUGCUCCCCAACAUUCUCCUACAAAUCUAUAUUAUGACUCAUCUCAUCUCUCUAACUAAGUCAGUGAAUUAUUUGACCCUGUGCCACAUUUAAACUCUAAUGAUACAGCUGUUUGAACUACAAUAAGAUAUUAUGAUAUGCAGGUAGUGUAUAAAUACUGUAAGUAGCCUAAUUCCUCUGUAUUAUCAUGUAAGUCUUCUGGUUCCUCAAUAUUAAAAAGGAGAGGAACUAUAAGAACAAUUUAAAUAAGAACAUGAACAGACAGCUCUGUUCAAAUACAAAAAUACAAAAUAGAGUAUGUUAGAAAUACAGUACUGCUCUGCUUUUUCAUGAAAUUCUAAACACCCACCUGGUGCUAUUAAUGUGGUGGUAAGCAGGUACUUUCCCUGGUGCGACGUCGGUCACGUGGCGUAAACCCUCGCAUACUAACAUCUGCCCACUGCUCCGCAUUAUUGCACUCUGAUGAUAGCCAGCAUUAUUAAUGCUGUGGCUGUAACAGAAUUCAGAUUCUCAUACCCAGUGGCAGCUAGUAUGUAGCCAUCAAGCGCCCUUCUAGACUCCCACUGCUUGGCUUAUUGUGUAACACAGCCCAGAAAAGGUUGCGAACAGCUGACCUUCACUUUUGUGUCGAGGUGAGCGAGAGGCCCUUCAGUGCUCCGUGUCCACACACAGCUAAUUCCUGCUGGCUUUGCACCAGCUUGGUCUACUGCCCAACCCAGGUUCCUCCACUCAUGUUGGCUGUCUCUCCUCAUCACACAGAGAUUAAUAUCAAGUGAUUGGCAGCCAUGUUCUCACUUAGCACUCCAGUCAUGGUGCCCCAGGGUGUCUGCCAGUCGUAAAACAACAGUGCAAGUGCCACUGCGGCGUUCACUGUCAUUUAGCCAGUAUCCAGCCGCAGCAGAAAAAGGAUGAAAAGUGCCAACGACCAAAUUGAAUUAUGAGCUUGACUCAGCCCCGGCCAUAUAUACAGCCCAGCACAGGGAGCCAUUUCCUGCUGAAACGCCUCUUGCUGCAGAUUACUGAGGUAAUAUUUCCUGCGCUGCAACUAGAGUGGUUAUGGGCCACAGGCAAUCUACCUGACGCAGCUUAUGCCCACAGAGCAGCGGCUGCCAUGAAAGAGGAGGCGCUGACCCAUGGUGGAAUUGCGCUUAUUUAUCACACGGUGACUAAAAAGGUGAGGUGCUUUUUAAUGAGAACACCAAGUAUAACUUUUCACACCAUUGUGGAGCCAUGAGUGUCUGAACAGUGACCACAUGCAUAAUUAUAGACACACACACAACAGCGAGUUGUAGUCUCCAUUACCAGAGUCAAAUUAAGGUUAUAGGAGGAUGUGGAAUAUGUCUUUUUGCUUGAUGAAAAUAGGCUUUAGGGAUAUGCAGCCAGGAUCCCAUGAGUGUGUUCCUGGCUGACAUUUUGCUGAUACAGAGCAAUAUUGGCACACUGGUAGACCUGCUGUUGGUGUGUUCUGGAAGCCAGCCAAAGUCAAACUGAAAGAAAGAAGGAGAGCGACUAUGGGAAAAGGGAGAGAGAGAAACUAGUGGCAAGCUUUAAAUAUCAGCUCAUUAGCCACCUAUAAACUCAUCUAAUGAGCACUCAUGGAUUUUUCAUUCCCUUUAAUCCGGUGGAGGUUGGAGAAAGGCGAGCACCCUUGCUUGUUUCCCCUCAGGUUUUGUUGUACUUGCCAAGGCUAUAAUGUAUACGAUUCUCUUCUAAUGGCCGACCAACAUGCACAAGCUCCAAGUCACACAUUCUCAAUCGAUGUAACUGGGGAAAGAUCGUCCAAUAUUCUCUUUUAGUUUUCAGUUUAUGCUUCAUUUUGAAGCAUCAUCAAAAGUCCCAUUAAAUUUGCUAAUACAUUUAUGAACAAAUAAUCAUUUCAGUGUUGACAAAUGCUUGUGCAGCAGGUCACUUGUAAAACAUAUUUCCACAUACACUACUCCCUAAAAUAAUGUAAACAUAAGCAGGAGCAACUUGAUACAAAAUAAAGCCGACUCUAACUAGAUUCACAUACAAACAGAAUAACAGGCCAGAGACAAAAUAACAAACUUUUUCAAUAUCAAAUACAAACAAGCACUUACUUAGUUAAUUCAUUUAAUCUAUCAAAAGCAGUCAAAUUAUUAAACAAGGCAGAUUUCGAGAACAACGUUCAUAGUCCAUGUGUAUGUGAUGAUCCUGAUUAGACUGAGAUAGGAGACAGAAAAAGCAAAUGAUCCACAAACUAAAACAAAACAAGGGUCGGAGCGCUGAAUUGUAACCAGUGGGGUGCGGUGAGGUCCAUGGCUGGUGAGGCACAAAGUCCUCUAGAGUCAGAUUUUACAAUUAUAAUACCUUAAAAGAGUUUAUUUUUCACUAUUUAACUGUCAGAAUGACAUAUUAAUACAUUUCACUAUUUAUUAUCAUACCUACUGUAUCUCACCUUAAGCAACAUAUUUGGUCUUGAAGAAACAUAUCUUUUGUAGCAGACCUGACCUUUAGCCUCCAUAUACAGUAUUUUUCACAAUUCAUACUCAUUCUAAAGUAUAGAGAGGUGUAAAUGUUCAAUUUUGACCCUUAGUGAAGUUUUAUGUUGUUUUUAAAACUUGGUUUUGUUUGGUUUAAUCAGUUUUACAGGUUUGCUCUUCAUUAGGAUAACAUAGAAUGCUUUACUCAAGAUUCAAAUUUACUUCUUAAGCACUUGAAUUGUUUUAGUUAGUGUCAUUCAGUAAGUCUUUGUAGAAAAUAAAAACCCAUUUGUGGGGAUACAGUGCUUUAAAGGGUGGUAGCAGCGCCCCCUUCUGGAUGAGGCACAAACCUGUCCAGCCUCCCCUCAUGAGUUUUCUCUGUCGGUUUUAACGCAAUCAGUAACUAUGUCACAAAAACAUCGAUAAACACAUUAGGCAGGUUGUACAAAGUCAUGGUGUAGAAUAAAUCUGUCUGAAGGCUGCAAACAUUAUAUUGGAGACAAAAUGUCAAACAGAAACGGAUUACGCCCUGUAUCAGCCCAUUUACUGACAGUUUCAGCAUCAGGGCUGAGGCUCCACUCGCUGGCACCUCACGUCCAGUUUCUCGCCAUAUUAGAUUUUUACUCGGAAAAAUGUUAAGAUAACUGAAAUUAUAGACAAAAUAUAUGUAUUGUAUAAUAUGUAUAACACAGAUCAAUGGACAGAAAUCUCAGGUUAUGGUAUUGUCAGGCAAGGUGAGGCCCCGCCUCCCCUGUCUACCCUGACUGCACGUCACUGAUUGUAACAUACCUACCUUUGAUUUUUCUUUCUCUAAUUCUUAUUAUAAUAAACGUAAUUAUACAUUAUAGUCAUCAAUUUCUGCACAAACCAGAUUCACCGGGAUUAUUUCCACUCCUUUGUGCAAGUUUCAUCAGCUUUAAAACUUCGGUUUGCUGCAGCUCCUUCAGAUGAGACAGGAACAGAUUUUUGUUAAAAGAUCAAGUGUUCACAAUAAAAGAUCAUUAUGCUUUCAAGCCAAAGUCUUUUUCCAUGCACAAAGGAGUGCGUUUGAUUCCUGGCAGCCCUGACAUUUCCUUAAAUCCAGCCCCUCUAUCAAUAACAGCUGUGUUGCAAUGUCUUUCUUUUAUGAUUUUAUAGGAAAGGAAUCUGUCAUGUUCAAAGGCUCCCUGCAGUGAAAUAUAAUUUCAAAGGUGCAUAAACUCUCAUGUCUACAGGGCCAAUCAAAAGAGAUGCAUUUCAUUUGUGUUUAAUGAAAUGACAAAGAUAAAAAGAAACAUUUCCAUCAGUGUUGUCUUUAUUGUGUUUUGCAAGUGUUCGGUUCUUGCCUCUUGUAACAGUGUGUGAAGAUUAUGUUUUUGAGAUGAUCAUUUUAUUCUAUGUAAAAUCCUUGCGCAUUAAACACUUACUCCC
This is a long non-coding RNA of Betta splendens (Siamese fighting fish), 4486 nucleotides long. RefSeq lists it as uncharacterized. The record is from RefSeq and is a predicted model, not a curated record. The transcript has 3 exons. Lineage: Eukaryota; Metazoa; Chordata; Actinopteri; Anabantiformes; Osphronemidae.